This 1312-nucleotide long non-coding RNA is filed under the name Homo sapiens (human). RNAcentral's name for it is "novel transcript, antisense to ANKRD11". Lineage: Eukaryota; Metazoa; Chordata; Mammalia; Primates; Hominidae. The record is from RNAcentral.
GCUCAACCUAUCCAUCCCGGCCUCUUCCUAAGACCAAGGCGCUGCUGACUCAACCCUGCUUCCAGAAGCCUAGGGUUAACAUCUGCUCCUUCCUCCUGUUUGCAUUCAGUGAAAUCCUCUCCUCUCCCAGGAGUUUCCACAUAAAACCUGCCUCUUUGUUUAUUAAGAAUUGUUUACAGAACUCUCAAGCAGCAAAGGCAAAGUACAGAAGAUAAAUAAGAGCAAGCUGGCCGGUGCGUGCGACUGGAUGGACAACAUCUUUACCCACAUGUCUGCAUCAGCUCUGCGUUGUUCACCGACAAAUCCCGUGUCUGGAAGAGUCCUGGCAGGCUGCACGGGCUGGAGAGAGAGCGAGCUGACACCAACACCAGGCAGAGUCCACCAUGAAGGCAAGUGGCAGUGUCCCAAGGAGAGCCCGCUGGCCAGGAGGGCACCGCAAGCUUGGACACAGCAGGGGCACUGGAGAUGGGUCCACGAACCGCGUGCGCAGCCCAGGAGGCUGGCACAACUGGUGUCUGCAUGAAGACUAGGAACAGCUGGCUUCUUAUCUCACACCAUACACAAACAUCAAUUUAGGAUACAUUAAAGGUGGAAAUGCAGUCAGCAGAAAACUGUCUCCAUGAGAUAAAUGCUCCUGCCCAAAGCCCACUCUAGCAAUGCUUCCUCCCUGAACCACAACUCUGAACAGGCUGCCACUCACUGCAACUCCUUGCACAUGACAGACUUGCUGGGAAGAGCAGAAACUAAAUAUGCCUUCCAUCAGCCAUGAAAAUGACUAAUGAAAAUGUAAAUGACCACGUGGCCCAAUCCUGGUUUCCAUGGGAAGACCAGCUGGCUCACCACCCAGCUAAGAGUUAUGGCCUAAAUCAGAGGUGAUCGGGGUGAUCAGAGUUGCUUACAUCAACGUUUCAAAACCCAGAAAUAAGAAAAUUAUUGUUCGAGGUCAAUAACCAUGUUUAUAACAACUUCCAACUUAAAAUGGAAGAGGAAUCCCUUGGAGAACACACAUUUCCUUAUGGAAGUUUCCUCAAAAUUUCUAAUAGGAAUUUCAACUAAGUUAAAGUACUAAUUUAAGUAGGACAAGACAGAAUUCUCUUCCUUCCCAGACACUAUUACAAGCCAAACCACGUUUCACAGGAACACGUCCUGCCUGCUAAGGUGUCCCCUAGGACAAAGCUGCUUGCCAGCUGACCAUCACUUGUAUUGCAUACUUUAAAAAGUGUGGCUAACAGAAAGGAGGCAAGACAGAUGUUAUUUAAAUAAAAGCACAAAGCAUCUGUUCAAGCACGAAAAAACAUAUGGGAAAAUACAA